AUUGUACCCAUAGAUAUUUUGUACCCAUUCUAGUACAUUUUGACCAUCUACAAGGUUCCAGGAAAAAAGUAACAGCAGCAAAUGGGGUCAAGCUGUCUUUUCCAUCCAAAAACUAAUUUCUACUUGCAAAAAUAUUUGUAGAUAACCCACCUCGCCUGUCACUAUCCCCCACUGAAUGUAUCCCAUGGGACCGUGUCUCAGAAUCAGGGAAGUGCCAGACCUCUGACACGGUGGGGGUCCGAGAAUGGGAAGACAGCUGACCAACUGUUGUCUAUGACAAAUACACCAGUUGCACUAAAGCUGACCUCAAAUAAUUAUGUUACAGCACAGAGGUGUAACGUGAAGCUGGGCCUCAGUGCAAAAUCUGUCAUAAAGCCCCGAUCUUACUAUGUGCUAUUUAUAAUGCUGGUGUCGUCUUAUGGGGCAAGAUAACUUUGGGCAACCAAAAGGACCCUGGCCUGAAUGAAACUGCUAACUCUGCACCUCUGGGAGAGCUUAAAGAGCCUUGUUGAGUUGCUUUCAACAGUAGAGUGGUGCAUAGUCCGGGAUCAGUCCAACGCCGCUCUCCACACACAACUAACUUUCUUUGUUUAGAUCUGUUUCCUGAUAACACUUGGCAUGUUCCCAGCUGUCAGCAAAAUAUGUACUGAGUUAAGAGCCUUGCUGUCUUCUGCUCCUAUUGGCCGGUGUUCAAAACCUUCAGCUUAUGAGAGCAGAUGAGGGACUGAUGACAUGUUUAUAGAAUGCAUAAACAUUUCAGAACAUACUCACUGUAUGUAUAUAUUAAAUGUAUACAUUGUGAAGUUCAGAUAAAUGUUUUAUCAGGGGGGAUUUAUAUACAGUCAGGCGCAAAGCACAUAACACAUAUAAAACCAACGCUCCAGACAGUAAUCCAACACAGAGAUGCUCAAAGGGAUAACAUAUCCUGCCUGUGUGAUAUA
Hyla sarda is the source of this 941-nucleotide long non-coding RNA. RefSeq lists it as uncharacterized. The transcript is spliced from 3 exons. The record is from RefSeq and is a predicted model, not a curated record. NCBI's taxonomy places the organism in Eukaryota, Metazoa, Chordata, Amphibia, Anura, Hylidae.